CGAGCGGAACGAUGGAAGCUUGCUUCCAGGCGUCGAGCGGCGGACGGGUGAGUAAUGCAUAGGAAUCUGCCCGAUAGUGGGGGAUAACCUGGGGAAACCCAGGCUAAUACCGCAUACGUCCUACGGGAGAAAGCAGGGGAUCUUCGGACCUUGCGCUAUCGGAUGAGCCUAUGUCGGAUUAGCUAGUUGGUGAGGUAAUGGCUCACCAAGGCCGCGAUCCGUAGCUGGUCUGAGAGGAUGAUCAGCCACAUCGGGACUGAGACACGGCCCGAACUCCUACGGGAGGCAGCAGUGGGGAAUAUUGGACAAUGGGCGAAAGCCUGAUCCAGCCAUGCCGCGUGUGUGAAGAAGGCUUUCGGGUUGUAAAGCACUUUCAGUGGGGAAGAAAUCCUCGGGGCCAAUACCCUCGAGGGAGGACAUCACCCACAGAAGAAGCACCGGCUAACUCCGUGCCAGCAGCCGCGGUAAUACGGAGGGUGCGAGCGUUAAUCGGAAUUACUGGGCGUAAAGCGCGCGUAGGCGGCGUGAUAAGCCGGUUGUGAAAGCCCCGGGCUCAACCUGGGAACGGCAUCCGGAACUGUCAGGCUAGAGUGCAGGAGAGGAAGGUAGAAUUCCCGGUGUAGCGGUGAAAUGCGUAGAGAUCGGGAGGAAUACCAGUGGCGAAGGCGGCCUUCUGGACUGACACUGACGCUGAGGUGCGAAAGCGUGGGUAGCAAACAGGAUUAGAUACCCUGGUAGUCCACGCCGUAAACGAUGUCGACUAGCCGUUGGGGUCCUUGUGACCUU
RNAcentral lists this ribosomal RNA (786 nucleotides) under Halomonas alimentaria. RNAcentral describes it as "bacterial SSU rRNA". It matches the Rfam family "Bacterial small subunit ribosomal RNA", at positions 63 to 841 of the family's 1533-position model. The record is from RNAcentral. Lineage: Bacteria; Pseudomonadati; Pseudomonadota; Gammaproteobacteria; Oceanospirillales; Halomonadaceae.